RNAcentral lists this small RNA (6198 nucleotides) under Pongo abelii (Sumatran orangutan). RNAcentral describes it as "retained intron". Lineage: Eukaryota; Metazoa; Chordata; Mammalia; Primates; Hominidae. The record is from RNAcentral.
AAGAAAAGAAAAAAAAAAGAAGAAAAUUAAGUUUGAAGCCUGAAAUUAACCUCUUGGUGAGAAUGGAAAUGGAAUGAAAUUUCACUCCUUUCCAGAUGAAGCUUCUAAAGAGGAGACCUGGCAGCCUAGCGAGCAUCCAGCUUGCUCACGCACCUCUUUCUAGUCCUGUGGCCAUCAGUGAGCUUCUCCAGGUCCCUCUUGCCACUUCUCAGAUGUUCCCUUCUGUCCUAGGAGAUUUGUAAAACCAGACACUUGGGAUAUGAUUCUCUAGUGGAGAGUUAGGCCUUUAGGUCUCUAAAAAUUGCCAUUCAUGACCUUCGGGCCUAGGGUUUAGAGAUGAAUGUGCAGUGUGGGUGGCCGCUCUGUGUGUCCUGCUUCUACCAGCUUGGCAUUAAGCACCCGGAGCAUCACCUGCUGGGCAGGCGUGGCCAGGGGUGAGCCCCUCCAUUCGGGGGCUCAGGGUCAAGGCGGAUUCCUUGCUUGGCUUUCCUGCUGAUUUCCUCAUGAAGAUGCCAAUUCGUAUUUAAACAUCUGUUAUCAAUGGUGGUGGUUGUGUGCUGAUUUCUAUAGGUAGAGGCUGUUGUUUUAGGAGCCAGGUUUGCUGGGCCAGCUCAGACCUCUUACAAAGUGAAGAUACUAAUGAUCGUCUUGCAGAGUGCCAUAGUGUCGUGAGGGUGAACUGAGGCAGUGGCUAUGCAUGGUGUCUGCAGCAGCGUUUCUGAGGCUCCAAGAAUAUCAGUUCCUUUUUCAGAAAUGGGGCCAGAUUCUUGGGAUGUAGACAGCGUUCUCUUCACGGAUGCUAACAACUUAUCAAAGCUAUAAUAUAUUAAGUAUCUCUGUUAUAAUAGGAUAGACGCAUUCCUAAAAAAAUGUGUUAAGCAAAAAUCAGAAAAUAAAAAUAACAAGGCCUUGAGGAAAAACACAGUUGGGGCGAACAUUUAAACCUAUACCCCAGUAAUAAUCCUCACAAUGAUACUGACAAAGUUGAAAAGAUAUGUUAAAUUCCUAAUAAUAAAUAUCCCAGUAAAUAUAGGAUUACACACACACACACACACACACACACACACACUUCUGCCUGUGAGAAGGUAGUGAAUAGGAGGAGUAAUGCACGGCCAAUUCCAAGGCUGCUAAAUAUGGAGACAAGGAUAAAAAAGCACAAAGAUAGGAAGAACUACCUGACAGGGGUUCUGAGGCAGCAUUUGUCCAGCUGAGCCAAGAGGAAGACUGGGGUGAAUGGACACGCAUACCGUAUUCCUCCAAGGUUGUGUUUUUGGUUUUGGUUUUGGUUUUUUGUUUGUUUGUUUGUUUGUUUUUUGAGACAGAGUCUCACUCUGUUGCCCAGCCUGGAGUGCAGUGGCACGAUCUCAGCUUACUGCAAGCUCUGCCUCCCGGGUUCACACCAUUCUCCUGCCUCAGCCUCCCGAGUAGCCGGGACUACAGGUGCCCGCCACCAUGUGCCCGGCUAAUUUUUUUUGUAUUUUUAGUAGAGACGAGUUUCACUGUAUUAGCCAGGAUGGUCAUGUUUUUGUUCUUGUUUUUGUUUUAGAGACAGGGUCUCCCUCUGUCACCCAGGCUGGAGUGCAGUGGCACAAUCACGGCUCACUACAGCGUCAGCCUUCCAGGUUGAGGAUCACUCGAUACUCAUGCCUCAGCCUCCCAUGUAGCUGGGGCCACAGGUGCACACCACCACGCCUGACUCAUUUUUUAAAAAAUUUUUUGUAUAGGUGGGGUCUCACCAUGUUGCCCAGGCUAGCCUCGAACUCCUGGGCUCAAGCAAUCCUCUCACCUUGGCCUCCCAAAGUGCUGAGAUUAUAGGUGUGACCCGCCAUGCCCGCCUUUCCUCUGAGUUUUGUUGCAUUCGGGCAGCUCCUGGCUGAGGCAAAACAUUAAAAUGCAUAUGGAAAUGCAGGCUGGGAAAAUGCUUUGAAACCAAUGCAAUUUCUAUGUUAAGGGGACGUUCCCUGAUUCUUUCAGGUAAUUUGCAUUCUAGACUGUAACAUUCUGUACCUCAACUGAUAAAUAAGCCUGUUUGUCAUCCUGCUAGAUGAGAACCUGAUAUAUGAAACCUUUUUUUUUAAUCGUGGUUAAAAAAAACAUAAAAUUUACCAUCAUAAUUAUUUUUAAAUGUACCAUUUGGCAGCAUUAAGUAUAUUUAAACUCUUGUGAAACAAAUUUCUAGAAUGUUUUCAUCUUGCAAAACCGAAACUCUGUACCCAUUAAACAACUCCCCUUUUCUCCCUCUCUUCAACCCUGGUAACCACCAUUCCUUCCUGUUUUUAUGAAUUUGACUACUUUAGAUACCUCAUAUAAGUCAGGUCAUACAGUAUUUGUCUCUUUGUGACUGGCUUCACUUAGCAUAAUGUCCUCAAAGUUUAACUAUGUUGUAGCAUGUAUCAGAAUUUUAUGAAACAUGAAGUCUUAAACACCCCAAAGUACAUUUUCACCCCAAAUGUAUUUGAACAGUGUUACGCUGGGGGUGGGAGGUGGGAGUCCUUCUUGCUUUGCCUGUGCAAUGAAAUGAAUACCCUGCUGUGUUUAUCUCCUUGUCAUGUGAUUCUCCCAGGUUGUUUCUUCAAGUUUCUGAGCCAAACUUAACUCUAAAAAGCAAAUAUUCUGUGUUAAAAGACAGUAAUCAACACGGGAGCUACAUCAGACAUCAUAGGACAAAUUGUCAUCUAGAAGAGUAUAUUUUUAAUGCAGGAGAGUUUUUAAAACCCAGAUUGGUGUGAUUUCAUUCCAGAGAGCUCAGAAAUAUGCUCAGCAAGUCUUGCAGAAGGAAUGUCGUCCCAAGUUUGCCAAGACAUCAAUGGCACUGUUAUUUGAGCACAGGUAUAGCGUGGACUUACUCCCUUUUGUGCGGAAGGCCCCCAAAGACAGUGAAGCUGAGUCCAAGUACGAUCCUCCUUUUGGGUUCCGGAAGUUCUCCAGUAAAGUCCAGAACCUCUUGGAGCUCUUGCCAGAGCACGACCUCCCUGAACACUUGAAAGCCAAGACCUGUCGGCGCUGUGUGGUUAUUGGAAGCGGAGGAAUACUGCACGGAUUAGAACUGGGCCACACCCUGAACCAGUUCGAUGUUGUGAUAAGGUUAAACAGUGCACCAGUUGAGGGAUAUUCAGAACAUGUUGGAAAUAAAACUACUAUAAGGAUGACUUAUCCAGAGGGCGCACCACUGUCCGACCUUGAAUAUUAUUCCAAUGACUUGUUUGUUGCUGUUUUAUUUAAGAGUGUUGAUUUCAACUGGCUUCAAGCAAUGGUAAAAAAUGAAACCCUGCCGUUCUGGGUACGACUCUUCUUUUGGAAGCAGGUGGCAGAAAAAAUCCCACUGCAGCCAAAACAUUUCAGGAUUUUGAAUCCAGUUAUCAUCAAAGAGACUGCCUUUGACAUCCUUCAGUACUCAGAGCCUCAGUCAAGGUUCUGGGGCCGAGAUAAGAACGUCCCCACAAUCGGUGUCAUUGCCGUUGUCUUAGCCACACACCUGUGCGAUGAAGUCAGUUUGGCAGGUUUUGGAUAUGACCUCAAUCAACCCAGAACACCUUUGCACUACUUCGACAAUCAGUGCAUGGCUGCUAUGAACUUUCAGACCAUGCAUAAUGUGACAACGGAAACCAAGUUCCUCUUAAAGCUGGUCAAAGAGGGAGUGGUGAAAGACCUCAGCGGAGGCAUUCAUUGUGAAUUUUGAACACAGAAAACCUCAGUUGAAAAUGCAACUCUAACUCUGAGGGCUGUUUUUGACAGCCUUCUUGAUGUAUUUCUCCAUCCUGCAAAUACUUUGAAGUGCAGCUGAUGUUUUUAACUUUUAAUUUAAAAACACAAAAAAAAUUUUAGCUCUUCCCACUUUUUUUUCCUAUUUAUUUGAGGUCAGUGUUUGUUUUUGCACACCAUUUUGUAAAUGAAACUUAAGAAUUGGAAAGACUUCUCAAAGAGAAUUGUAUGUAAUGAUGUUGUAUUGAUUUUUAAGAAAGUAAUUUAAUUUGUAAAACUUCUGUUCGUUUACACUGCACAUUGAAUACAGAUAACUAAUUGGAAGGAGAGGGGAGGUCACUCUUUUGAUGGUGGCCCUGAGCCUCAUUCUGGUUCCCUGCUGGGCUGCUUGGUGUGACCCACGGAGGAUCCACUCCCAGGAUGACGUGCUCCAUAGCUAUGCUGCUGAAACGGUCUGCAACGCAGCGGCGUGAGGCCUGGGCUGGUCGGAGAAGGUCACAGCCCUUCUCUGUUGGUCUGCCUUCUGUCGAAAGACUCGAGAACCAACCAGGGAAGCUGUCCUGGAGGUCCCUGGUCGGGGAGGGACAUAGAAUCUGUGUCCUCUGACAACUGUGAAACCACCCUGGGCUGCAGAAACCACAGUCUUCCCAGCAAUUAUUACAAUUCUUGAAUUCCUUGGGGAUUUUUUACUGCUCUUUCAAAGCACUUAAGUGUUAGAUCUAACAUGUUCCAGUGUCUGUCUGAGGUGACUUAAAAAAUCAGAACAAAACUAUUAUCCAGAGUCAUGGGAGAGUACACCCUUUCCAGGAAUAAUGUUUUGGGAAAUACUGAAAUGAAAUCUUCCCAGUAUUAUAAAUUGUGUAUUUAAAAAAAAGAAACUUUUCUGAAUGCCUACCUGGCGGUGUAUACCAGGCAGUGUGCCAGUUUAAAAAGAUGAAAAAGAAUAAAAACUUUUGAGGAGCUCUCGUAGUCAGGUUAAUUUGGGUGCUUAUGUCUAUGAAUCUACCCAAAACCUCCUUCUUGGAUGCUGCUGCUAGGUGGAGACCUCUGUGUGGAUGCCAGUAGUGAGGGACAGAGAAUUAAGGCGCCUGGUCCUGCCAGCUGCUUGAGUCCAGACAACUGUGAACCCUUCUGGAGAGAUGCUGGGUGUUGGUGGCUUCCUCCCCGAGGACAGGCUGCCCCUAGCUUCUGUCUCUUAAUGGCUCUAGCCUCUGAUAUCGGAAGAUCUGCUACUCUGUUCCCAGCCUGCCCCAGACUCGGCUGCCGCCAUCGCUGUUCUCCACUCUGUGGCUGCUCUUGUCACUAAUGCUACCUCCUUCCACUUUCCCUUCCUGCAACUGCUUGUGCAGCCCCAGUGCAGCCUUGGCCCCCAGCCCAUUCCAACGUCUUCCCAUCUCCCUCCUCCUCACCAUAUGCAGGGCCAGGAGUCAGAUCAUAGCAUUCAAAGCAGAGUCCCUUCAGUCUCCAGGGGUCUGGGAUCCAGCUCAGAGUGGCCAGGAGAGCAAAAGUCAUACUUCUCUGGUUUUGUGUCUUUACAAAUAAUUUUGUAUGAAUUUUAUUUCCUACUCUAUAAGCUACUGCUUGUUUAAGAGAAAAUGUUUUAAGAUUAUCACCCAUCAAAUGAGUUUAGAAAAUUUGAGACUCUGGAAGAUGGUCCACAGCUCCCUUGUGGCUCAGGUGGGGCUGGGCUUACACCACACAGCUCCACCCCCACAUCCCUCGGGGUUAUUGGAAAAGCCGGAACUUCCUCAGACAAUGUUCUUAAUGCUACUUUCUUAAUGCUACAAGCACCUCCUUGCUGGUAUGAGGAGACUUGCCUACCUGCUUCUCAAGGUUGCAGGGAUAUGUGGUGCUCAAAGCUUCCACUUGGUCAGCUUGCAGCAACUCUCAGGCCCACUCCCAUCCCCAUCCCUCCUCCCUGUAAGGCCCUUCUUGCAUCCUUAGGUUGCUUUGCUCAUGUCUCUCAACUUUUACUUACUCAGGUGGUAAGUAGAUACCCUAAAAAGGCAUAUUUUUGUAGACCUUUUAUACAGUCCACCAGCCAAUAGGAGUUGGCUGGAGAUCAUUCUCAAGAACUUUUCACACUUUGGCAUUCAUUUGUUGGAAGUUUCAUCUUCAUUUCAGAGCUGCGCCCCAUUACUCCCCUACCCCACGCACACUCUUCUGAAAACAGACCUUUGCUAGGUGCCUCUGGGUGUUUUAAAGUUGAUUUCCAGUAACUGAGAAUUCACUGCCACUCUGACAGCUUUGUAUUGCAUUCUAGACCUGCACACACACCCUCUGACAUAAAUGCAAUCACUGGUUCUGAGGCAACUUAGGAAGACUUAUACAUGUUCUGUAUUUUAACAUACUUCUAGAACUUUGAGCUGCAGAAAAUUUCAGUUUUAGGGGUUUUUUAUUUUAAUUUUUGAUUGAUACAUAGUUGAUGUACAUAUUUUGAGGGUCCAUGUGAUAAUUUAAUACAUUCAUGUAAUUAUAAGGAGCAAAUCUGUGUAA